AAAGUGCGAUAAUUAAUGUGAAUUGCAUAUGCUUGUGAAUCAUCAAGUUUUCGAACGCAGCUUGCACUCUAUCCUUUACGGAUUGAGUAUACCUGUUUGAGCGUUUGUAAAGACUAUAAACACAUUAGUGUUUGUAUGGGCUGAUACGCGUCUUGUGCGUGUAGAGCCUUAAAGGUAGUUUAUAUGCGUACGGUGAGCUAGCGCGGCGUUAUGUAGUAUAAUGGUGUUGUUGUUGGGUGUGUGUAUCAUCACACACACACACACGCACACAUAUAACUACUGACGACACGACACCUAUGCGCACACAACAUACAAACUUUAAACCUCAAAUCAGGUAGGAUUACCCGCUGAACUUAA
This 357-nucleotide unclassified non-coding RNA is filed under the name uncultured fungus. RNAcentral's name for it is "sequence contains ITS1". The stretch from base 1 to 106 matches the Rfam family "5.8S ribosomal RNA", at positions 50 to 154 of the family's 154-position model. The record is from RNAcentral. Lineage: Eukaryota; Fungi.